UGGAGAAGGGUUCCAUGAGAACAGUAUUUGGUCAUGGGUUACUCGGUCCUAAGGCAUAGGUUAACUCCUUUAUCCAAGUGCUAUCAGCACGAUGCCGAAAGGGAAUCAGGUUUAUAUUCCUGAAGCUGGACGAGGUGUUUCGCGGCAACGCAAGCGAGCUCGGAGACGUCAGCGUGAACUCCUGGAAGAAUUUUCUUUUCUUUUUAACUGGUUAUCGCCCUGGAAUUGGAUUAUCCAGAGAGAGGGCUUCAAAUCAGGAAGAGCAGCCUACUUUUUGGGCUGUCAGGUGCGUUCAUGAUGAUCAGUGAAAAUCCGGGGGAGGUGUACUUCUCGCCAGUCCGUACCAACAACCGCAUCAGGUCUCCUAGGUUAGCAGCCUCUGGUCGAUAGAAUAAUGUAGAUAAGGGAAUUCGGCAAAUUAGAUC
Molecule: non-coding RNA, 425 nt
Filed under: Stylonychia lemnae
Lineage: Eukaryota; Ciliophora; Spirotrichea; Sporadotrichida; Oxytrichidae
Description: Eukaryotic large subunit ribosomal RNA
Rfam family: Eukaryotic large subunit ribosomal RNA
Source: Rfam by way of RNAcentral